UGGGGAAUAUUGCACAAUGGGCGCAAGCCUGAUGCAGCCAUGCCGCGUGUGUGAAGAAGGCCUUCGGGUUGUAAAGCACUUUCAGCGAGGAGGAAGGUGGUGAACUUAAUACGCUCAUCAAUUGACGUUACUCGCAGAAGAAGCACCGGCUAACUCCGUGCCAGCAGCCGCGGUAAUACGGAGGGUGCAAGCGUUAAUCGGAAUUACUGGGCGUAAAGCGCACGCAGGCGGUUUGUUAAGUCAGAUGUGAAAUCCCCGGGCUCAACCUGGGAACUGCAUUUGAAACUGGCAAGCUAGAGUCUCGUAGAGGGGGGUAGAAUUCCAGGUGUAGCGGUGAAAUGCGUAGAGAUCUGGAGGAAUACCGGUGGCGAAGGCGGCCCCCUGGACGAAGACUGACGCUCAGGUGCGAAAGCGUGGGGCAGCAAACAGGAUUAGAUACCCUGGUAGUCCAGCGCUGUAAAACGAUGUCGAUUUUGGAGGUUGUGCCCUUGAGGCGUGGCUUCCGGAGCUAACGCGUUAAAUCGACCGCCUGGGGAGUACGGCCGCAAGGUUAAAACUCAAAUGAAUUGACGGGGUC
Molecule: ribosomal RNA, 577 nt
Filed under: uncultured bacterium
Lineage: Bacteria
Description: partial 16S ribosomal RNA
Rfam family: Bacterial small subunit ribosomal RNA
Source: RNAcentral